GCAUUGGUGGUGUAACGGUUAGCAUGGUUGCCUUCCAAGCAGCCGAUCCGGGUUCAACUCCCGGCCAAUGCA
RNAcentral lists this transfer RNA (72 nucleotides) under Saccoglossus kowalevskii. RNAcentral describes it as "tRNA-Gly". It matches the Rfam family "tRNA". From Rfam's summary of the family: Transfer RNA (tRNA) molecules are approximately 80 nucleotides in length. Their secondary structure includes four short double-helical elements and three loops (D, anti-codon, and T loops). Lineage: Eukaryota; Metazoa; Hemichordata; Enteropneusta; Harrimaniidae. The record is from RNAcentral.